GGUGUAGCUCAGUGGUAGAGCACAUGCUUAGCAUGCACGAGGUCCUGGGUUCAAUCCCCAGUACC
This 65-nucleotide transfer RNA is filed under the name Camelus bactrianus (Bactrian camel). It matches the Rfam family "tRNA". Rfam says of the family: Transfer RNA (tRNA) molecules are approximately 80 nucleotides in length. Lineage: Eukaryota; Metazoa; Chordata; Mammalia; Artiodactyla; Camelidae. RNAcentral also lists the same sequence under 2 other names. The record is from Rfam by way of RNAcentral.